This 555-nucleotide ribosomal RNA is filed under the name uncultured bacterium. RNAcentral's name for it is "partial 16S ribosomal RNA". It matches the Rfam family "Bacterial small subunit ribosomal RNA", at positions 355 to 900 of the family's 1533-position model. The record is from RNAcentral.
UAGGGAAUCUUCCACAAUGGACGCAAGUCUGAUGGAGCAACGCCGCGUGAGUGAAGAAGGUUUUCGGACCGUAAAGCUCUGUUGUUGGUGAAGAAGGAUAGAGGUAGUAACUGGCCUUUAUUUGACGGUAAUCAACCAGAAAGUCACGGCUAACUACGUGCCAGCAGCCGCGGUAAUACGUAGGUGGCAAGCGUUGUCCGGAUUUAUUGGGCGUAAAGCGAGCGCAGGCGGAAGAAUAAGUCUGAUGUGAAAGCCCUCGGCUUAACCGAGGAAUUGCAUCGGAAACUGUUUUUCUUGAGUGCAGAAGAGGAGAGUAGAACUCCAUGUGUAGCGGUGGAAUGCGUAGAUAUACGGAAGAAUACCAGUGGCGAAGGCGGCUCUCUGGUCUGCAACUGACGCUGAGGCUCGAAAGCAUGGGUAGCGAACAGGAUUAGAUACCCUGGUAGUCCAUGCCGUAAACGAUGAGUGCUAAGUGUUGGGAGGCUUCCGCCUCUCAGUGCUGCAGCUAACGCAUUAAGCACUCCGCCUGGGGGAGUACGACCGCAAGGUUGAAAC